GAUCUGUGCGCGAGGUGCUUAUCAUAGAAAGACAAACAACUGGUUUAAUGCUGCUUUUACUACACUUUUACUAUAAUAAAACAAAUUAUAAUUAUAUUAUAAAAUCUAAUCUAAUAAAACACCAACAUCUAAAUCCAACUAUAGUGACAACCCUGUGUAUAGAUGUAUUUAAUUCUGCUAUGGCUCAGCUGUUUAUAAGCAGAUCUGUAGAAAUGAGUUAUAUGUCAUUGUCCAGCUCAGUUCAGUUCAAUAGCAUCAGUACAUCAUUUACAAUGGAAUAAACAAAAUUGUACUGAAUACAGUGUUUUUGUUUGUUUGUUUCUAGGAGAGCAUCAACCCCUAAUUGACAUGAAGAACAAAUCAUUGAAAGGUGUACAGUGUACCCCUCUUUGCAACGGAGGAAGCAUUAGGAAAGAGGAGAAGAGAGGAAGUGAAAAGGCACUCAACAGAUGUUGGAAAUGCACUGGUAACAACUAAAAAAAGAUGACCAAACAUAAUUCAACAGAGGAUGAUGGCUGUGGUGAAACAAGCACUCAAAUAAUGAAACUAAGACCAGUGGGAGUGCUGGAGAAAUCAAGUGUAUAAGUCCUCUGUCGUCUCAGCCAUGGAAGAGAUCUUCAGACAUGAAGAGAUCGAGGAGUUAAAUGAAGUCAAAGAGCUAAAAGAAGAUUUACAAUACUAGUGCCAUUUCAGUAUGAAAACAGAGAGAGAGCUGAGGCAGUGGAAAGAAAUGCAUGUUAUUGUGCAAGGGGUAGUUGCUUGGACUAUCAGUGGAGGGACAGAAAGCACUGAGAUUUCAUUAUAAAGAUCUUCAUUUGUGUUCGGAAGAUGAACGAAAGACUUGCGGGUUUGGGACGUCAUGAGGACUACAUCCAAAAUAGUGUUUCCACAUCUGAGAUGAAGGCAGUCAUAAGAACCAAGCGGAACGAUGAGGAUAAGCUCUUCAAAAAAUGAAACCUGUCUGAAUAAUGAGGGAAGAAAUGUGAGAUUUGUAAAUAAACACUAAAUACAUUUAGUGUAACUCAGCCUGUUAUUUUAAGUUUAAAGAAAAGUAAAAUAAUUUAUUGUUGCAUUGCUGUUUGAGACAUUCACUGUUGUUUUGUACCUUAAUUUAUUAUAUUGCAGUUGUGCAAAUAAAACUUGUUAUUCUGAAUAUUCUGGUUGCAUUUCAGUGUUACUGUACAGCAUUUUAUUAGUAUUGCACUUUGGUAGUACUGAAUUGUACUUCAGUUGUAUUAUAUAUUGCAGUACUACUGCAGUUUUAUUGCAGUAUAACUGUAGUAAUACUUCAGCUGUAUUGCAGUAAUACUGCAGUUCUAUUGCAGUUGUUUGUUAGUAAUACUACAGCUCUACUGCAGUUGUAUUUCAAUAGUACUUCAGAUGUAUUGCAGUAAAACGGCAAUAAUGCAGUAAAGUAUUACUUUUUUUAAAACUGCAGUAAUUUUUUGUAGUUCGGGUCGGCUGAAGUCUUGUAGUCGGACUAAGUACAUUGCAUUGUAUCUGGCCCUUAUGGUAGUAAUGGUAGUUACUUAUGGUAGUAAGUAAUGUGAGUGAUACUGUCUUGUUUGGUGGAAAUGAGCUGUGACUCUGUAAUUAAGUGUAAUUGUAAUUAUUUGUAAUGUCCAUUUCUUACCUAGAUUUUUACCCAGUUGAUUUUUCAUGAU
Onychostoma macrolepis is the source of this 1664-nucleotide long non-coding RNA. RefSeq lists it as uncharacterized. The transcript is spliced from 5 exons. The record is from RefSeq and is a predicted model, not a curated record. Lineage: Eukaryota; Metazoa; Chordata; Actinopteri; Cypriniformes; Cyprinidae.